GCAGCGCACCCUGCCCGGGGGGGACUGAGGAAGACGGCUGUGCUCUCAGGUGUCUGUGGGCGAGUUUAGGGCUCCAGUGCCAUGAUGUUUAUAAGAAACUCUCAGAUGCCUCAGUUGGAGGGGGGCAAUGUAGCAAAAUGGUCACAAUUUUGGUAUUUUUGGCAAAUGGUUGUAAUUUCGGGGAGAAGGUGUUGUUCAUUCUGAUCUAUGCAGUUUCCUGUGGUGUUGAAGAUUUUCUAAAUAAAAAGGUGGGGGCUGGGCACGGUGGCUCACGCCUGUAAUCCCAGCACUUUGGGAGGCCGAGGCGGGUGGAUCACCUGAGGUCAGGAGUUCGAGACCAGCCUGACCAACAUGGUGAAACCCUGUCUCUGCUAAAAAUACAAAAAAUUAGCCGCGCGUGGUGGCGUGUGCCUGUGGUCCCAGCUACUCGGGAGGCUGAGGCAGGAGAAUCACUUGAACCUGGAAGGUGGAGGUUGCUGUGAGCUCAGAUCGCACCACUGCACUCCAGCCUGGGCAACAGAGUGAGACUCCGUCUUGAAAAAAAAUAAAAAAUAAAAAGUUGGGGAGAGAAGAGGACUUCUUCCUCUUGCCCUCAGCCACGUGCGUGGCAGGAGCUGGGGCGGGUGGAGGCUAAGCACGUGUAGCAGGUUCAGGAGGGAACCAGGUGGAGCGUGGAGCUGGCACUGGACACGUCCAUCUUUCACUGGACCAUUGUCAGAUGUGGCCGCCCGCCCCAGACCUGCAUGCUCCACUGUUCCUCACACUCAGGGCCAGCAAGUCCAAGUUCCAGCCUCUAAGGGAGAUGCCAGCACCUUUCUAAAAAGUACACGUGGGUGCUUCACACCAGAGAGCCACACUCGGAAGAUGACCCUGGAAGCAAAAGCUGGAACCCAGGGUGAAGGCCGUGCCCCAACAGCGAGGACAAGCUGUCC
RNAcentral lists this long non-coding RNA (932 nucleotides) under Homo sapiens (human). Its description in RNAcentral is "HSALNT0216678". Lineage: Eukaryota; Metazoa; Chordata; Mammalia; Primates; Hominidae. The record is from RNAcentral.